This 448-nucleotide ribosomal RNA is filed under the name uncultured bacterium. RNAcentral describes it as "bacterial SSU rRNA". It matches the Rfam family "Bacterial small subunit ribosomal RNA", at positions 330 to 794 of the family's 1533-position model. The record is from RNAcentral.
CCCAGACUCCUACGGGAGGCAGCAGUGAGGGAUAUUGGUCAAUGGGGGAAACCCUGAUGCAGCAACGCCGCGUGGGUGAAGAAGUACUUCGGUAUGUAAAGCCCUGUCAGCAGGGAAGAAAAUGACGGUACCUGACCAAGAAGCCCCGGCUAACUACGUGCCAGCAGCCGCGGUAAUACGUAGGGGGCAAGCGUUAUCCGGAUUUACUGGGUGUAAAGGGAGCGUAGACGGCAAGGCAAGUCUGGAGUGAAAGCCCGUGGCUCAACCACGGGACUGCUUUGGAAACUGUGUUGCUGGAGUGCAGGAGGGGUAAGCGGAAUUCCUAGUGUAGCGGUGAAAUGCGUAGAUAUUAGGAGGAACACCGGUGGCGAAGGCGGCUUACUGGACUGCAACUGACGUUGAGGCUCGAAGGCGUGGGGAGCAAACAGGAUUAGAUACCCUGGUACGA